This 242-nucleotide long non-coding RNA is filed under the name Eutrema salsugineum. RNAcentral describes it as "long non-coding RNA (ESAL_LNC001490)". Lineage: Eukaryota; Viridiplantae; Streptophyta; Magnoliopsida; Brassicales; Brassicaceae. The record is from RNAcentral.
CCUCCUUGCUCCACCGCCGCCAUCCUUCAACAUCUCCAGAGCUCAGCAAAACAAAAAAUCGAUUAGCCACCAUCCUUUUGAUUAGCCACCAUCUCCAGAGCUCAGCAAAACAAAAAAAUCGAUUAGCUAAAAAAUGAAUACAUCAGAGAACUUAGAAACAUCAAAGAGUGGGAGUAACCCAAUGUGUACCUCCUAGGUUUGAGGCAAACUCCAAAAUGGUGGAUUCCGUUUUGAUUUUGAAG